Molecule: ribosomal RNA, 165 nt
Filed under: Rumex acetosella (sheep's sorrel)
Lineage: Eukaryota; Viridiplantae; Streptophyta; Magnoliopsida; Caryophyllales; Polygonaceae
Description: 5.8S ribosomal RNA
Rfam family: 5.8S ribosomal RNA
About the family: 5.8S ribosomal RNA (5.8S rRNA) is a component of the large subunit of the eukaryotic ribosome.
Source: RNAcentral
AAAAACGACUCUCGGCAACGGAUAUCUCGGCUCUCGCAUCGAUGAAGAACGUAGCGAAAUGCGAUACUUGGUGUGAAUUGCAGAAUCCCGUGAACCAUCGAGUCUUUGAACGCAAGUUGCGCCCGAAGCCUUCUGGCCGAGGGCACGUCUGUCUGGGCGUCACGC